RNAcentral lists this ribosomal RNA (497 nucleotides) under uncultured bacterium. RNAcentral describes it as "partial 16S ribosomal RNA". It matches the Rfam family "Bacterial small subunit ribosomal RNA", at positions 28 to 507 of the family's 1533-position model. The record is from RNAcentral.
GAUGAACGCUGGCGGCGUGCCUAAUACAUGCAAGUCGAGCGAACAGACGAGGAGCUUGCUCCUCUGACGUUAGCGGCGGACGGGUGAGUAACACGUGGAUAACCUACCUAUAAGACUGGGAUAACUUCGGGAAACCGGAGCUAAUACCGGAUAAUAUAUUGAACCGCAUGGUUCAAUAGUGAAAGACGGUUUUGCUGUCACUUAUAGAUGGAUCCGCGCCGCAUUAGCUAGUUGGUAAGGUAACGGCUUACCAAGGCAACGAUGCGUAGCCGACCUGAGAGGGUGAUCGGCCACACUGGAACGGAGACACGGUCCAGACUCCUACGGGAGGCAGCAGUAGGGAAUCUUCCGCAAUGGGCGAAAGCCUGACGGAGCAACGCCGCGUGAGUGAUGAAGGUCUUCGGAUCGUAAAACUCUGUUAUUAGGGAAGAACAUAUGUGUAAGUAACUAUGCACGUCUUGACGGUACCUAAUCAGAAAGCCACGGCUAACUACGUG